RNAcentral lists this ribosomal RNA (440 nucleotides) under uncultured bacterium. Its description in RNAcentral is "partial 16S ribosomal RNA". It matches the Rfam family "Bacterial small subunit ribosomal RNA", at positions 338 to 795 of the family's 1533-position model. The record is from RNAcentral.
CCUACGGGAGGCAGCAGUAGGGAAUAUUGCUCAAUGGGGGAAACCCUGAAGCAGCAACGCCGCGUGGAGGAUGAAGGUUUUCGGAUUGUAAACUCCUUUUGUUAGAGAAGAUAAUGACGGUAUCUAACGAAUAAGUACCGGCUAACUCCGUGCCAGCAGCCGCGGUAAUACGGAGGGUGCAAGCGUUACUCGGAAUCACUGGGCGUAAAGAGCGCGUAGGCGGGAUAGCAAGUCAGAUGUGAAAUCCUAUGGCUUAACCAUAGAACUGCAGUUGAAACUGUUAUUCUAGAGUAUGGGAGAGGUAGGUGGAAUUCUUGGUGUAGGGGUAAAAUGCGUAGAGAUCAAGAGGAAUACUCAUUGCGAAGGCGACCUGCUAGAACAUAACUGACGCUGAUGCGCGAAAGCGUGGGGAGCAAACAGGAUUAGAUACCCCUGUAGUC